This is a non-coding RNA of Plectropomus leopardus (leopard coralgrouper), 160 nucleotides long. NCBI's taxonomy places the organism in Eukaryota, Metazoa, Chordata, Actinopteri, Perciformes, Serranidae. The record is from RefSeq and is a predicted model, not a curated record.
AUUCGGACUGAAUAUCAUCUCUGUGCAGGUCUGCUGGUGUAGAGCAGCUGAUGUACAUCAAAGAGGAUCUGAUAAUUCCACAUCAUCACAGUUUUUAUGACUUCAUAGUGACCAAAGCCAGAGGCAAAUCUGGUCCUCUUUUCAGCUUCGACGUCCAUGA